ACCUCCACCGGGCAGGGGAGACACCAUGAUCCGGAAGGUGGUUUUCCCAGGGAGGGCGAGGCUCACCCAGUGCACUGCGGGUGUGCUGAUCCCUGCGGUUUCCCCAAAUGCGGGAAAUUCGACUGCAUGCUUUGUGGUAGUGGGGACUGCGUUCUCUCUCUCCCCU
Molecule: small nuclear RNA, 166 nt
Organism: Echinops telfairi (small Madagascar hedgehog)
Lineage: Eukaryota; Metazoa; Chordata; Mammalia; Afrosoricida; Tenrecidae
Gene: U1
Rfam family: U1 spliceosomal RNA
About the family: U1 is a small nuclear RNA (snRNA) component of the spliceosome (involved in pre-mRNA splicing). Its 5' end forms complementary base pairs with the 5' splice junction, thus defining the 5' donor site of an intron.
Source: Ensembl